Molecule: ribosomal RNA, 433 nt
Filed under: uncultured bacterium
Lineage: Bacteria
Description: partial 16S ribosomal RNA
Rfam family: Bacterial small subunit ribosomal RNA
Source: RNAcentral
AACGAACGCUGGCGGCAUGCCUAACACAUGCAAGUCGAACGAGACCUUCGGGUCUAGUGGCGCACGGGUGCGUAACGCGUGGGAACCUGCCCUUAGGUUCGGAAUAACUCCCCGAAAGGGGUGCUAAUACCGGAUAAUGGCUUCGGACCAAAGAUUUAUCGCCUUUGGAUGGGCCCGCGUUGGAUUAGCUAGUUGGUAGGGUAAAAGCCUACCAAGGCGACGAUCCAUAGCUGGUCUGAGAGGAUGAUCAGCCACACUGGGACUGAGACACGGCCCAGACUCCUACGGGAGGCAGCAGUGGGGAAUAUUGGACAAUGGGCGAAAGCAUGAUCCAGCAAUGCCGCGUGAGUGAUGAAGGCCUUAGGGUUGUAAAGCUCUUUUACCCGGGAUGAUAAUGACAGUACCGGGAGAAUAAGCGCCGGCUAACUCCGUG